Molecule: ribosomal RNA, 465 nt
Filed under: uncultured bacterium
Lineage: Bacteria
Description: partial 16S ribosomal RNA
Rfam family: Bacterial small subunit ribosomal RNA
Source: RNAcentral
GACGAACGCUGGCGGCGUGCUUAACACAUGCAAGUCGAACGGAAAGGCCCCUUUGAUGUUAUUCGAGUGGGAUACGGGUGUGUAAGACGUGCGGAAGCUGCCUUAGCCUGUGGUUAAACUGCCUUAAACAGCUGCUAAACAUUGAUAAACAGCGGCUCCUACCGCGUGGGUGGUGUAAAGCGCCGGCGGGCGGGGAUGAACUCGCGGCGGAUCAGCUUGUUGGUGGGGUAGUGGAGCACCAAGGUGUCGACGGGUAGCAGGCCUGAGAGGGCGACCGGCCACACUGGGACUGAGAUACGGCCCAGACUCCUACGGGAGGCAGCAGUGGGGAAUAGUGCACAAUGGGCGGAAGCCUGAUGCAGCAACGCCGCGUGCGGGAUGACGGGCUUCGGGUUGUAAACCGCUGUCAGAUGAGACGAAGAGUGACUGACGGUACCUGCAGAAGAAGGACCGGCUAACUACGUG